UCUACGGGAUGCAGCAGUGGGGAAUUUUGCGCAAUGCUCGUAAGAGUGAAGCAGCGACGCCGCGUGAAUGACGAAGGCCUUCGGGACGUAAAGUUCUUUCGACAGGGAAGAAAAUGCCUAUAUGUAACUGUGUAUGUAUUGACGGUACCUGUAUAAGCAGCCCCGGCUAACUCCGUUCCAGCAGCCGCGGUAAUACGGGGGGGGCGCGCUUUGUUCGGAGUGACUGGGAGUAAAGGGCAGGUAGGCGGUGUUGUAAGUCAUUAGUCAAAGACUAGAGCUCAACUUUAGUAAGGCUAGUGAUACUAUAAUACUAGAGUAGCAGAGAGGAUGGCAGAAUUCCUGGUGUAGCGGUGAAAUGCGUAGAUAUCAGGAGGAAUACCGUUAGCGAAGGCGGCAAUCUGGCUGGAAACUGACGCUGAGGUGCGAAAGCGUGGGUAGCAAACAGGAUUAGAUACCCUUGUAGUC
RNAcentral lists this ribosomal RNA (465 nucleotides) under uncultured bacterium. RNAcentral's name for it is "partial 16S ribosomal RNA". It matches the Rfam family "Bacterial small subunit ribosomal RNA", at positions 338 to 795 of the family's 1533-position model. The record is from RNAcentral.